Molecule: ribosomal RNA, 476 nt
Filed under: Salmonella enterica subsp. enterica serovar Derby
Lineage: Bacteria; Pseudomonadati; Pseudomonadota; Gammaproteobacteria; Enterobacterales; Enterobacteriaceae
Also listed under: 2 other names
Description: partial 16S ribosomal RNA
Rfam family: Bacterial small subunit ribosomal RNA
Source: RNAcentral
AAAUUGAAGAGUUUGAUCAUGGCUCAGAUUGAACGCUGGCGGCAGGCCUAACACAUGCAAGUCGAACGGUAACAGGAAGCAGCUUGCUGCUUUGCUGACGAGUGGCGGACGGGUGAGUAAUGUCUGGGAAACUGCCUGAUGGAGGGGGAUAACUACUGGAAACGGUGGCUAAUACCGCAUAACGUCGCAAGACCAAAGAGGGGGACCUUCGGGCCUCUUGCCAUCAGAUGUGCCCAGAUGGGAUUAGCUUGUUGGUGAGGUAACGGCUCACCAAGGCGACGAUCCCUAGCUGGUCUGAGAGGAUGACCAGCCACACUGGAACUGAGACACGGUCCAGACUCCUACGGGAGGCAGCAGUGGGGAAUAUUGCACAAUGGGCGCAAGCCUGAUGCAGCCAUGCCGCGUGUAUGAAGAAGGCCUUCGGGUUGUAAAGUACUUUCAGCGGGGAGGAAGGUGUUGUGGUUAAUAACCGCAGC